AUACGUAGGGAGCGAGCGUUGUCCGGAAUUACUGGGUGUAAAGGGAGCGUAGGCGGGAGGGCAAGUCAGAUGUGAAAUACAUGGGCUCAACCCAUGGGCUGCAUUUGAAACUGCAUUUCUUGAGUGAAGUAGAGGUAAGCGGAAUUCCUGGUGUAGCGGGUAAAUGCGUAGAUAUCAGGAGGAACACCGGUGGCGAAGGCGGCUUACUGGGCUUUUACUGACGCUGAGGCUCGAAAGCGUGGGGAGCAAACAGGAUUAGAUACCCUGGUAGUCCACGCUGUAAACGAUGAUUACUAGGUGUGGGGGGACUGACCCCUUCCGUGCCGCAGUUAACACAAUAAGUAAUCCACCUGGGGAGUACGGCCGCAAGGUUGAAACUCAAAUGAAUUGGCGGGG
Molecule: ribosomal RNA, 396 nt
Filed under: uncultured bacterium
Lineage: Bacteria
Description: partial 16S ribosomal RNA
Rfam family: Bacterial small subunit ribosomal RNA
Source: RNAcentral